AUGCGAGGUAAUUGAGGUUAAAAUAUGUUUUUUACGAAGUCAAACUUUUUUACUUUUUGUAAUCAUGUUUAAAUGCAAACAUUACUUUGCCCCUAAAUCGUAGGCAACAUUGAAAUAAGUGACCUUGUUUAGAAACCCUUGGUUGCCUAAAGCGGGAUGUAAACGAACUAAAUAAAAUGCGGCUGCUUCUUAUUUAGUUUAAAAUCAUGUUAUAGUAAGUCAUAUUAAAUGUGUUUCGAAGUUUAAUCGCUUUAAUUAUUUGAAUAAAAGAUGCUUUGAGUAUGUUCUACAUAAGCUUUAAAAAUACAAAUGCAUGUCAUUGUGUAUGUAAAACACUAUAAGCAGUUGUGAAAUAACAAAAUGAAAAAGUUAAAUACCCUUCCUGACCUCAUAAGAUCAUUCGCUGUUUUAGGAGUGUUCGUUUUCAUGGUAUGCUGUGUUUUUUUGGAAUGUUGUUCGUCUCUUGGACUUUAAUUUUAUUUUGUUCAUGGUUUUAAUUAACUUUAUUUGAUUCAUGGUUUGAGAUGUUGAUUGUCCUUUUGGUAUUAUUUUACUUUAAAGACAUUAACUUGCAGUAAUGAAAAUCGGCCAAAAAACACCUCAAAGUAAAGUGAAGAAGAUUAACGCAAUAAGACAAAUAUCCGCGAAAAUAACUUAAUUUGCUAACGGUGAUAUAUAUAUAUAGAACCAAAUCGUUAUCAUGAUACAUUUAGCUACACUGAUCUAUAAUUGUUAAACCUUUUACUACUUGAAUAAUGACGAAAUAUAUCAAAGGGACAUCAAACUAAUAAUUAAAAACGAACUGACAAAGCCGGGCAAAAAACGAACAAGACAAGCAACAGUAUACAAAACACAACAUAUAAAACUACAGAUUGAGCAACACAAACCCCUCCAAAAAAUUUUUGAGUGAACUCAGGGGCUCCCAAAGGGUAGGCAGAUCAUGUUCUACAUGUGACACCCUUCUUAGUUUAAACAUAUUUAUUUAUAGUGGAUCGGGAACUUAAAUUAUUCGCUUUCCACUUUGCGGGUGUGAGUGCUGCCUUGUAGCGGCAUUAGCCUCCUCUUUUUCGAAAUCUACAAAGGUGUGUUUAACGUGCAAGAGAUAUGGCUCUCUCUUAAUACGGGUCAGCCAUUUAUCGUCCCCUUCCGACGGACUUUCAUCGUUUCCUCAAGACCAUACUCACAAAUGGUGUCAAGGAAGAGCCGAAAAUUCAGUCCCUGAAAUUUU
RNAcentral lists this long non-coding RNA (1228 nucleotides) under Mytilus galloprovincialis (Mediterranean mussel). The record is from RNAcentral. Lineage: Eukaryota; Metazoa; Mollusca; Bivalvia; Mytilida; Mytilidae.